This 205-nucleotide unclassified non-coding RNA is filed under the name Glomus sp. Its description in RNAcentral is "partial contains 5.8S ribosomal RNA and internal transcribed spacer 2". The stretch from base 1 to 65 matches the Rfam family "5.8S ribosomal RNA", at positions 84 to 154 of the family's 154-position model. The record is from RNAcentral. Lineage: Eukaryota; Fungi; Glomeromycota; Glomeromycetes; Glomerales; Glomeraceae.
GUGAAUCAUCGAAUUUUUGAACGCAAAUUGCACUCUCUUCGGAGAGUAUGCCUGUUUGAGGGUCAGCCUAAAAAAAAUCGACAUAGUCGCUGUUUCGCGGUGACAUUCGUCGGAAAUUGGGUCUCUUUAAACUUUGGGGUUUUAACGGGCUAAAAUUUUUCUUUCCAUUUCAACGAAGGUUCCUAGAAUUUACUCUUUACACUUU